This is a long non-coding RNA of Lytechinus pictus (painted urchin), 1308 nucleotides long. RefSeq lists it as uncharacterized. The transcript has 4 exons. The record is from RefSeq and is a predicted model, not a curated record. NCBI's taxonomy places the organism in Eukaryota, Metazoa, Echinodermata, Echinoidea, Temnopleuroida, Toxopneustidae.
AUAUUAUCGUCGGUCUCUUCGCGAUUUCAGCUGCUGAGAAAGACGUGUGCAGACGAAGAAGGGAAUUUGCACACGAAUUCUUGGUGCAGAAAACAUAUAAAACCUGUGAAUCAUAUUUUUUCACAACAAAGAAGCUUUUACAUUUCAAACGAACGACUGAAAUUUUCUUCUUGUGAAAUUUGAUUUUGAGAUAAAUUCAUCAACAUGCCUGACACCAAGUGUAUCUGUUGCCAGGAGAAAAAGGAGUGUUCGUGCAUCGGCUCCUGCUGUGAAACAGGAGAAUGCUGCAAAAAUGGAACAUGCUGCGGAAAUUCUUCUACAAAGAAAUGAAGGAUGUGCUUGCACCAUGGGAAACUGUAGGCCUGGAAGGACCUUAGCUUUUGUAAUUUAAGAUUGUAGAUACAGCUCAAGUUUAUAAUGUCCCGUCUGCUGCUCUACUUGGAUUUGAUCUGUAUAUUUUUUUAAAGAUGUCUGAUAGCUUUUUUUGUAACAUGUAUAUUUAUAUACUUUGUAAAAAUAUGUGAAAAUAAUUUUUGUCUAUAGGGUGUUUUAGCAAUUAAAAACGCGUAUCUGCAUGACUUACGCGUGCAGUAUCAAAGCGUAAGGACACCGCACACCUUACGAUGGCUGUAUGUCCCGAUUUGGAAACAAACGGCAUUUUGGACAUUUUCUAGUAAUAUAAACAUAUCAAAUAUUUUUUUGAGGCUCUGGAUAACUAUCAGAAUAAAUAUAUCAACAUUUUUGCAUGACUAAAGCUAGCAAAUCGUUCGGUUUUACAUGUAAGUAUUCAUUUGAUGAUCCAGAGUUAAAGAAACUAAUUUGUUUUGAUUCAAUAUUCCAUCGACUCGUUUUGUUCGGAUCUUAUAGACCAAUCGUAAGGUGUGUGGUGGCCUUUACAGAAUGCUCCCAAAAGUUCCUUAAUACCUUGUGCAAUAUCAUGCCUUAUUCCCGGGCCUUAUUGCUCGAUCGGUAUAAUGUAUAAUGACUAUUAACGAUGAUAUUGAAGUAAACCAAUUACUGAAAUAUCUGAACCAUCCGACGUAGGCCUUAUGUUUUAUCUCUGAUGAAAUGCGAGACUCGGAGGCGUGUUCUCGAAAGAUACUUAAAAAUACUUGAAAUAAAAUAACGCUUAAAUGGAUUACUUUACGAUGCGUUAAUAUGUAUUUUUUCUGUUUAAUUCCAUCAUGAUUGUGAUGAUAUUGAUACCUUCUUACAUUCUUAAAUGUUUAUUGUACGAAUUUAUAAAAUUUAUAAAAUCUGGGCCAUGUAAAAGAUUCGGUAUGAUUAAAUUGUAGGAUUAAAUCUAAA